This 433-nucleotide ribosomal RNA is filed under the name uncultured bacterium. Its description in RNAcentral is "partial 16S ribosomal RNA". It matches the Rfam family "Bacterial small subunit ribosomal RNA", at positions 29 to 507 of the family's 1533-position model. The record is from RNAcentral.
AACGAACGCUGGCGGCAUGCCUAACACAUGCAAGUCGAACGAGACCUUCGGGUCUAGUGGCGCACGGGUGCGUAACGCGUGGGAACCUGCCCUUAGGUUCGGAAUAACUCCCCGAAAGGGGUGCUAAUACCGGAUAAUGUCUUCGGACCAAAGAUUUAUCGCCUUUGGAUGGGCCCGAGUUGGAUUAGCUAGUUGGUAGGGUAAAAGCAUACCAAGGCGACGAUCCAUAGCUGGUCUGAGAGGAUGAUCAGCCACACUGGGACUGAGACACGGCCCAGACUCCUACGGGAGGCAGCAGUGGGGAAUAUUGGACAAUGGGCGAAAGCCUGAUCCAGCAAUGCCGCGUGAGUGAUGAAGGCCUUAGGGUUGUAAAGCUCUUUUAACCGGGAUGAUAAUGACAGUACCGGGAGAAUAAGCUCCGGCUAACUCCGUG